This 512-nucleotide ribosomal RNA is filed under the name Phoma herbarum. Its description in RNAcentral is "eukaryotic LSU rRNA". The stretch from base 135 to 288 matches the Rfam family "5.8S ribosomal RNA". Lineage: Eukaryota; Fungi; Ascomycota; Dothideomycetes; Pleosporales; Didymellaceae. The record is from RNAcentral.
UGAGUGUGGGCUUUGCCUGCUAUCUCUUACCCAUGUCUUUUGAGUACUUACGUUUCCUCGGUGGGUUCGCCCGCCGAUUGGACAAUUUAAACCCUUUGCAGUUGCAAUCAGCGUCUGAAAAACAUAAUAGUUACAACUUUCAACAACGGAUCUCUUGGUUCUGGCAUCGAUGAAGAACGCAGCGAAAUGCGAUAAGUAGUGUGAAUUGCAGAAUUCAGUGAAUCAUCGAAUCUUUGAACGCACAUUGCGCCCCUUGGUAUUCCAUGGGGCAUGCCUGUUCGAGCGUCAUUUGUACCUUCAAGCAUUGCUUGGUGUUGGGUGUUUGUCUCGCCUUUGCGUGUAGACUCGCCUUAAAACAAUUGGCAGCCGGCGUAUUGAUUUCGGAGCGCAGUACAUCUCGCGCUUUGCACUCAUAACGACGACGUCCAAAAGUACAUUUUAACACUCUUGACCUCGGAUCAGGUAGGGAUACCCGCUGAACUUAAGCAUAUCAAUAAGCGGGGGAAAAAGAA